This 621-nucleotide ribosomal RNA is filed under the name Streptomyces sp. BW5. RNAcentral's name for it is "bacterial SSU rRNA". It matches the Rfam family "Bacterial small subunit ribosomal RNA", at positions 243 to 874 of the family's 1533-position model. Lineage: Bacteria; Bacillati; Actinomycetota; Actinomycetes; Kitasatosporales; Streptomycetaceae. The record is from RNAcentral.
AGCUUGUUGGUGAGGUAACGGCUCACCAAGGCGACGACGGGUAGCCGGCCUGAGAGGGCGACCGGCCACACUGGGACUGAGACACGGCCCAGACUCCUACGGGAGGCAGCAGUGGGGAAUAUUGCACAAUGGGCGCAAGCCUGAUGCAGCGACGCCGCGUGAGGGAUGACGGCCUUCGGGUUGUAAACCUCUUUCAGCAGGGAAGAAGCGAGAGUGACGGUACCUGCAGAAGAAGCGCCGGCUAACUACGUGCCAGCAGCCGCGGUAAUACGUAGGGCGCAAGCGUUGUCCGGAAUUAUUGGGCGUAAAGAGCUCGUAGGCGGCUUGUCGCGUCGAUUGUGAAAGCCCGGGGCUUAACUCCGGGUCUGCAGUCGAUACGGGCAGGCUAGAGUGUGGUAGGGGAGAUCGGAAUUCCUGGUGUAGCGGUGAAAUGCGCAGAUAUCAGGAGGAACACCGGUGGCGAAGGCGGAUCUCUGGGCCAUUACUGACGCUGAGGAGCGAAAGCGUGGGGAGCGAACAGGAUUAGAUACCCUGGUAGUCCACGCCGUAAACGGUGGGCACUAGGUGUUGGCGACAUUCCACGUCGUCGGUGCCGCAGCUAACGCAUUAAGUGCCCCGCCU